RNAcentral lists this ribosomal RNA (389 nucleotides) under Chaetodon semilarvatus (bluecheek butterflyfish). RNAcentral's name for it is "partial 16S ribosomal RNA". It matches the Rfam family "Bacterial large subunit ribosomal RNA", at positions 1962 to 2502 of the family's 2925-position model. The record is from RNAcentral. Lineage: Eukaryota; Metazoa; Chordata; Actinopteri; Chaetodontiformes; Chaetodontidae.
CAAUCACUUGUCUUUUAAAUGGAGACCUGUAUGAAUGGCAUAACGAGGGCCUAACUGUCUCCUUUUUCAAGUCAAUGAAAUUGAUCUUCCCGUGCAGAAGCGGAAAUAACUUCAUAAGACGAGAAGACCCUAUGGAGCUUUAGACAAAAGACAGACCAUGUUAAGCACCCUCAAAUAAGAGACCAAACUCGAUGUUUACUGCCCUAAUGUCUUUGGUUGGGGUGACCGCGGCGAAAUAAAUAACCCCCGUGUAGAAAGAGGGCUCACUCCCUUCAAAUCAAGAGCUCCCGCUCAAACAAACAGAAUAUCUGACUAAAUAAGAUCCGGCAAUGCCGAUCAACGGACCGAGUUACCCUAGGGAUAACAGCGCAAUCCCCUUCUAGAGCCCA